RNAcentral lists this ribosomal RNA (253 nucleotides) under uncultured bacterium. Its description in RNAcentral is "partial 16S ribosomal RNA". It matches the Rfam family "Bacterial small subunit ribosomal RNA", at positions 524 to 776 of the family's 1533-position model. The record is from RNAcentral.
UACAGAGGUCCCAAGCGUUGUUCGGAUUCAUUGGGCGUAAAGGGUGCGUAGGUGGCCAACUAAGUCAGACGUGAAAUCCCUCGGCUUAACCGGGGAACUGCGUCUUAUACUGGAUGGCUUGAGUUCGGGAGAGGGAUGCGGAAUUCCAGGUGUAGCGGUGAAAUGCGUAGAUAUCUGGAGGAACACCGGUGGCGAAGGCGGCAUCCUGGACCGACACUGACACUGAGGAGCGAAAGCCAGGGGAGCAAACGGG